This 465-nucleotide ribosomal RNA is filed under the name Vreelandella stevensii. RNAcentral's name for it is "partial 16S ribosomal RNA". It matches the Rfam family "Bacterial small subunit ribosomal RNA", at positions 338 to 795 of the family's 1533-position model. Lineage: Bacteria; Pseudomonadati; Pseudomonadota; Gammaproteobacteria; Oceanospirillales; Halomonadaceae. The record is from RNAcentral.
CCUACGGGCGGCAGCAGUGGGGAAUAUUGGACAAUGGGCGAAAGCCUGAUCCAGCCAUGCCGCGUGUGUGAAGAAGGCCUUCGGGUUGUAAAGCACUUUCAGUGGGGAAGAAAGCCUUGGGGCUAAUACCCUCGAGGAAGGACAUCACCCACAGAAGAAGCACCGGCUAACUCCGUGCCAGCAGCCGCGGUAAUACGGAGGGUGCGAGCGUUAAUCGGAAUUACUGGGCGUAAAGCGCGCGUAGGCGGUCUGAUAAGCCGGUUGUGAAAGCCCCGGGCUCAACCUGGGAACGGCAUCCGGAACUGUCAGGCUAGAGUGCAGGAGAGGAAGGUAGAAUUCCCGGUGUAGCGGUGAAAUGCGUAGAGAUCGGGAGGAAUACCAGUGGCGAAGGCGGCCUUCUGGACUGACACUGACGCUGAGGUGCGAAAGCGUGGGUAGCACACAGGAUUAGAUACCCUAGUAGUC